Molecule: long non-coding RNA, 9092 nt
Organism: Pseudopipra pipra
Lineage: Eukaryota; Metazoa; Chordata; Aves; Passeriformes; Pipridae
Exons: 3
Source: RefSeq, a predicted model, not a curated record
CUUUGGCAUUGUAGAGAACAAGCCCGUGUCCUGGAUCCAUCUAAACUGGCCUCCUCCACAUCAGUGCCGAAGGGAGGGCCUGACCUUGCACACUGCUGAUCCUAUUAAGACUAAAGUUAUGCAUUCACAGCCAAAACAUUAAGGAAUAAAGCACACAAAGGCUGAAAAGUGUCAUUAGUACAGAGCAACCACAGCUGUCUGGAGAUCACACUUUGAGAUACUGAUGUGGAGUCCCCCAUGAUAUGAACCAAACUUUGCUAUUUCUUUUCCAGUUGUUAACUAGUAGAUAUAACUAAACAGUCUGAUUAAGCAAUUGCAUUGUGAACCCUGUAAGCUCGGCUAAUCUUUUGCUUUAAGGCAGAGGGAAGACAAUCCCAAGAUGAAUGGGCCGUCUGUCUGGACAACAGCCACCGGGUGUGAAGUCAGCAGGACUGAGCAGUAACUGGGGGAAAGGUAAUUCCAGCAGUAGAAGAUCGUGACACCAACCCAUGAUCACCUACUCAAAACAGACCCCAGACUCAAAGGGAGGGAAAAACUGCACAUGUGGACUAAUUAGCAUGAGAAGCGAGAGAUACAACCAGCAAACAGGGGGUUGAGUACUAAUUAAUAAGAAAGGCAUCAGUGCUGUGGGGCCAGGCUUGCCCCAUGGCUGGACAGUGAGAGCACCAUGUGAUCCCAGUAUCCUGAUGCCCUGGCUACAAGGCCAUGUUUCCUGUCAGUGUCACAGGCUAAACAACACUGAUCCCUGGAGGACACCACUAGUGACCGGCCACCAACUGGAUGCAGCACCGUUCACCACCACUCUCUGGGCCCGGCCAUCAGCCAGUUCUUAACCCAGCAGAGAGUGCCCCUGUCCAAGCCAUGGGCUGCCAGCUUUUCCAGGAGUGUGCCGUGGGAGAUGGUGUCAAAGGCUUUGCUGAAAUCCAGGUAAGCAACAUCCACAGCCUUUCCUUCAUCCACCAGGCAGGUCACCUGGUCAUAAAAUGAAAUGAGGUUAGUCAGGCAGGGCCUGCCUUUCCUAAACUGGUGCUUACUGGGUCUGAUCCCUUGAUUGUCCUGUAUGUGCUGUGUGAUCCCACUCAAGGUGAUCUGCUCCAUAACCUUGGCAGACACUGAGGUCAGCUGACAGGCCUGUGGUUCGUCAGAUUCUCCUUCCAGACUUUCUUGUGGAUGGGCGUCACAUGGCCAGCCUCCAGUCAUCUGGGAUCUUUCCGGUCAGCCAGGACUGAUGAUAAAUGACGAGAGGAUAAAUGAUGAUUAAAAGCUGGACAGCAGCUUAGUGAGCUCUUCUGCCAGCUCCCUCAGUGCCCUAGGAUGAAACCCAUCUGGUCCCAUUCAGCUCUUGGGUUCAGACUGAUCUUGGUGAGUCACGGAACUGCAGAGCUCAGGAGAUUCAUCACGGCAGUCCCCAGCCAAGGCCACACCUGACAGGUGUCCUCACAGCCCCUGGGCCAUCCCACACCAUGAGAAAGGCUCCUCCAAAGCCUGAUGAAGCCAUGAUGUAAAUACCUGUGAAAUACUGGGGAAUUCCUCCUGGCCCAUUCUCACAGCCCAUCUCUGGAGUGCAAGGUAACACGCAGCUCACCAGGACCUCACUUCACCUGUGUGCAGAGAGCUGGAAGGGACAGUGGGGAUGACUGAGGGAAAAUGGUCUGAAAAGGGGAUACCACGGCCAGCUAAAAGCUUCUCUGAGGGCCCUGCACCCAUGAACGUGGUCCACAGCAAAGGCUGUGGCCAAUACAGGACAGAGCAGUUGCCAUCCCACUGCCGCCUCCCUGUGCACCCAUUUCCUGCAGUUUGUUUUCUCUUGGAUGACUUGUGUGCUAUAAAUCAUAGAACCACUUAGCAUGGAAAAGACCUUUAAGAUCAUAGAGUCUAGACAUUAACACAUUAAUUUGUCACUGUCUCUGAGGAAUUUCACAUCCAGUAACUCGAAUUAAUAUUGUGGGAACCCACGGGAAACCUGAGAAAUGCAAAUGUAUUUCUCUUGCAAUCAGCACCAACUGGGCCAUGUGGCCUCAUGCUGACUGAUGACAUAUGUAAGCUCCAGAGAGCAGUGAAAUGCUGCUCAUUUAGGGGUUUAAAUGCUUACACACUGCAGAGAUCUGCUGUAAGCAGCCUGGCUUCCCAAAUAGGAGCUCAUCCAUCCAUUAGCUUUCCAGUAGUCUGAAAUGCAAUUUACCAACUUUACUUAUUUCCUCCAUUCCUCCCACAUGGCCUCUUGGAGCAAAUCACACCUCAUUUACAAGGCAGUCACCAGAAGGCAAGUUAAACUGAGAACACUUGUGCUGGGGCUGAUUUGGAACCAGGGGAAGGCGCAGCCAGCCAGCCCUCCCGGCUCCAAGGUUUUGCAAGAUGGGCGAUCCUUUGCAUCACUUAGCAGUGAUUAAGUUUGCUUAAACUGAUUAUCUGCUGGAGCAGCUGACAGACAGCAGAUUGCCAAGACACUUUUUGGACCCAGAAAAUGUCAGCUUGAAUAGAGGUCUAAGAGAAGCAUAAAAAUCUGGACUGGUGAGGAGGAGAAGGGAGACAGGCAGUGGUCAGAGUGGGCUCAGCAGUGCCACACUGUCAGCUUGUGAUGAGAUAGACUGGAUGCAGCUUGCAGGGCUCACUCUAGUGAGCCACUCCCCUGCCACAGCUGUUUCUAUUUUGCUUUUGGGGGCAUCACUGGGUUAUGUCUUGAAGGACAUUUCUCCUGUUUCCUGUCAGCAUGGCAAAACUGCUUGUUGUGGAAAUCAGAUUGUUAUUCUCCCUACAGCUCUUGUCAAACCCAGCACAGAGACAGAGGGACUGGUAUUCCCUGCAGAGGCAAGAACUGCUCAAAAAUAAAAUCUGCCCAAGCAAUUUGUGAUUUGGAGCACAUCAGCUGCCUUUGGUGCCAGAGAACUGCAGCUCAGGUGCUCUCAGCUCUCUGAUCCUCAAAGCCAGCUCCAGCUGGGCACGGACACACAACUCUCAGCUCUGUAGCUCCUUUCUGGAGCCUCAGAACAGUGCUGGGGUUCCUAGCCAGGCUCUGAAGCUGAUCUCAAGCAGCCCCUGCAGAGAGGGCAGGAUGGAGAAUUGCACUCCAGGGACAAGGCUGUGUCCCUCCUCUGCAGACAGUGCUCCUCUCAAGGACCUGGUGUCCAGCACAAAGAAAGUCUUUGCCCCAGAAGUCUGUCAGUCUCUGACAGAUGGGGCUUUGGUUUCUCAUCUUCAGAGAUGUCUAGAAGAAUUACAAGAGUCUUGGGAAGGCAAGCGCUGGAUUACUUUGAUCUUAGGAAAAUCACAUGUUUAAGUAAUGCAUUUUUACCCCAUACUUGACUACAUACAUACUGUGUUAUUAAAAGCCUACAAAGGGCUCUGCAUGGGGUGGAGAAGUGCCACCAACCACAAUGCCCAGCAUCAAACUCCCCUGCUCAGCUUGAGGGACACUUCUGACAGGGACCAGCUGACAUCCACUAGUUCUGGCAUGUCUGCCUUAGAAUCACAGAGUGGCUUUGAUUGGAAGCAACCUUAAAGGUCAUCUGGUUCCAACCCCCCUGCCAUGGCCAGGUAUGCCUUCCACUAGACCAGGUUAGUCAGAGCUCCACUCAGCCUGGCUUUGAACACUUCCAGGCAUGGGGCAUCCACAGCUUCUCUGGGCAACUUGUGCCAGGGCCUCACUACUCUCACAGUAAAGAAUUACUUCCUAAUAUCUUAUCUAAACCUGCUCUCUUUUAGUUUGAAGCCAUUACCCCUUGUCCUGUCACUACAUGCCCUUGCAAAAAGUCUCAGUUUUUCUUGUGGGCUCCCUUCAGUUCACAAUCAGGUCACCCAAAACCUUCUCUUUUCCAGGCUGAACAACCCCAGUUCUCUCAGCCUUAGGGGAGCAAUGCUGCCCCAGGAUUGGAACAUCAGACAUAGAGGCUCCCAGGCUCCUACUAUUGUCUAUGCCUCCAUCAAUACUUUCAGUGCAAAGGUACAGGGAGCUCUGCAUGGGAGUGCACAUUUAGUUACCUGCAGCCAGAGUUGACCAGAGAGUGACAACACUCCUGCCCUGCAUCUGUCUCUCAGGCAGCUCCACAAAGUCCCGGUCUCCAUUUCAGCAGGACACAUGGCUGAAGGAGAACCAUUUGACUCUAUUUCAGAGGCUGGAGCAGUAGCCCCUCCACCUCAGCUUUCUCCAGCCCAGACUCUCUCUGUCAGGGUUAGGCUCUUUCUGGCUGCUGGGGGAGUUUUUGCACCCAGGUGUGGCUCUCGAGCAGGGACCAUGGUGCAACUGGAGCUGCUUGUCAUGGUGGGCUCCCAGAAGGCAGCACCGCUGCCUGCAGAGACACACCCCACCCUAAAAAUUUCCAGCUGACUCGAGCAGUUUCAGUUUUUCCAUCCUAAAUUCUGCCCAAGUCAUAGCAGUAUUGAUGAUAUCACAGGGUGGAGAGACAUGACUGCUCCACUCCUAGCACUACACAGAUGACUCCGCCACAUUAUCAGCUGAACUUCUCCGGGAUUUUUUUUUUUCUUUCUUUCUAAAUGCCAGAAGUCUUUUUCCAGCAAAAAAAUGUUGAUUUCUUUGCAGUUAAACUGCAACAAACUCAUAUCAAGCUAAUGCAAGAAAGCAAAGCGGACCAAAAGGCAGCUCUUCCAGUGGUCCUACUGGAACGAUAAAAUGCCAAGGGAACAGAUUAAAAAUCCCCCCUUCAUUCUGGUGUCACCGUGGGAGGCAGGGUGGGCCAUCAGACAGGGCUAAGUGCAUCACAAUCUUGAGAGAAGUGUGAGUGCCAUGUUAAGCUACAGGGGCUUUAUUUUCCAGCACUAACCAGCAUCUCUACACAGAUCUACACUGAUUUUGCAGAUGGUAAGUAAAGCAACAGAUGAGUCAUAACCACAAAUACCAUUUAUCAAUUAACAACAUUAGCCUGCCAUGGAGAAAUUAGUGGAAGAAGUAGAAAAAUGACUGGCAGUAUCUUUGCCUGAAAGGUGGGAAAGUGGGCAUGAAACCUGGCAAAGCACAGCACAAACCAUUUGAGGUUUGAUGGUACCUCACAGCGGCAUCUUACAGGUACUGCCAUCAUCCACCAUCAAAGCAAGAUGAGACACUGGCUUGGAGAGAGUGGCCUGCUUUCCCCUCUGUCCCAGCCUGCCCAGCCAAGCUGGUGGGCUCAUUCCCAUCAGGACUCACACAUCUUUGGGUGUCCUUGGGAGCUGCCAAGGGUAUGUGCAAGAGUGAACCUAAAUGCGGACAGAUUUCCCAUCACUUCCAUCUUCAAAUCAGGACUGGAAAAUGUCACAGAUCGAUGAGAGCCUGUGGCAUUAAGAGAAGAGAAACCCCCACUUGCACCACGGCUGCCUCCCUGCUUGCUCUCUGCCUUCGGUUGACCUAGUUGAGUCACAGGGACAUGGCGAGCGAGAGACAUCCUGUGCUGUGGUUGGCACUGAUGCUGCUGGGGAGGAAGAGGGGCUUCUCCAGAGGGCCACUGCCUGCCCCACGUAGGUGGGGGGAGCAGGGCCAAGAGGUGAGUGCCCUGAGGCAGGGCUGGUGGAAAGAGCCGGCUCUCGCUUACAUUUGUGUCAUGCCCGUCUGUUCUCUGUGCUACAGUCCAAAAGGAAAAGCUGAUUUUUUUGAUUUUUCUUCCUCUUGCCAGAGUGAAGGAAGUUGCUGACGGCUCUCUCCCAGCUAAUGUGUGGGAGAGAUGGCACAAGCUGAAGGCACAGGUUGGGCAGUGAGGAAGGGAGCCAGGCUGUGGGUGAGCUCCUGCAGGGACCUGGCUGGGUGCUGACCCCCAGUUCUGACAUGUUAAAGCAUGUUCAGACGUGUUCACUGCUUGUGAGUGCCCUCCUUGCUUGAUCUUCAAAGACAAUAUAUCCACAUAUUAAGUCACUGCUUGGUGUCUUAUCUGAUCAUUGUCCCCCCAUGGGACCCAUCCCAGGUAGCCCUGGGGAGCCCUGUGGGGGCAGGACAUGUUUGACCUCCUCCCAAGGCUGCCAAACCUGGGACAGCGGGAGGCAGACACUGCUGCCACUGGCUGUGGCCCUCUCAGCACCCCCCAGGCACAGAAAGACUUUCCUGGGAAAAAAACCAGAUUUAUCGUUAUUCUAGGCUCUAAGGGUUGCGCAGAAUUGCAACAGAAAGCCUGAGGCCUCUUUUUUUUUCUUUUUUCUUUUUUCUUUUUUUUUUUUUUUCACUCUGAGAAGUCUUUUUUUCCGUGCACAAGCUUUUUUUGCAGGGAAGGUGAUCAAAAAGAAUAAACCUCCCCGUGCCAGAGAGCUGGAUUCAGGCUUAGGAAAGAGUGUAAGGAGCUGGACAGCUGCAGGGAAGGGCUGAUGAGGCUGGAGACAGGUUCAGCUUGAUACACACUACGGGAGCAUCCCUGGGGCCAGUUGAGGCCUCUCCAACUAUAAAAGGGCAUGGGGAUGGGGCUCCUUCCAUUCAGGGCUUUGCCCCAAGCAGAGUCAGGAAAGUGAGGCUUCACUUCACCUCUGAGGUGCCACAGACGGGGUACAGGUGACCCCCUGCAGCCAUGCCCCAGAGCUGACCUGUUUCCAUGUGGGCUGGUGGAUCUGGCCACUGCAGCUCCCUCCCUGCCCAGGUGUUAUAGUUUAUCUUUCUUUUUCAUUAUUCCUUACGGAACAUUUCUUUCUCGUUAAACUGAGGCACCAGGGCAGACACCAUGAAAGGGGAAGAGAUGCUGUAAAAACCAAGGUAAUUUAGGGCUCUUUCUCCCAUCCCCAGCCAUGAAGGGAGAUGAGCAUGUUGGCAAGGAAAAGUCAUCUUAUGGGAAUAAACUGUCUUGCUCAGAUCUAUCUGUUGCAUCUGUACUGAAGAUGCAACUGAAAGAAUUAGUCUUUUCAGGGUCAAAGCUAAAAAAAGCAAAGAAUCCUCAAACACUAGAUAAGGAAGAGAUGAUUCAAGAAGAUAGAGAUGUUACCAAAUUUCUGAGUUAUAACUUAUUGUUUUUGCAGUCGUGCAGGGAAAAUAUUUAAGAGCUGUUUGUAGUGAAGAUAUUUAAGAGCUGUCCGGAGGGCUGAAGAAAAAUGAAAGACAGCAAAUUCUCCAAGUAUCUGUUUCACAUAUGAGCUCUAGCGGACAGAAGGGGAGAGGACACUGCUGGGGGUACAUGUGGUCACAUGUUGCCUGGGUUACUGUGUCUGCCUUGGUGAGGAACCAGGAAACAUUCCCUCUCUGCCAAGAAAAGAGGGUGAUCAGCCAAAGGCACAUGGAGCUCAUUACGGGAUGCUGGGAAGAGCCUUCUGAGGACUUACUGUGGGAUGUGUGAGGAAAGGAGCAAACGGGAAAGAGAUUGAUCAAGGUGGGAAAACAGAGGGAAAAGGGGACAAAAGGGACUGCUCAGAUGCCUAUCUGACUGUGCCCUGUGCCUGAUUGCUGUGGCAUGUCCCGUCUGCUUUCUAAACUCUCUUCACAUGUUUCCCUGGAAAGGGUCUCUGCUUGGUGUGCACAGGUGUGUAUGGAGGUCAGAGUGCCAGUGAGGGAAGGGACACCAUGGGGCAAAGCAACCUGUGUGCCAGGAUAGCAGCUGCCAGAGAGACGGGGGUGUGGGUGGGUAUGUUGGUGUGUACAGUGGCUAGCAAGCAGUAAGCCAUGCCAGCUGGAAACUAGGAUAAAAGUCUCAGGAGACAGGAGGAUGGACUGGAGAGACUGUAUGUCUAAGAUCAGCAGCUGAAGGAAUUCAUAUGUUCUGCUGUGGGCUUUCAUCUUGAUAAGCCAGAGAGGGGAAGAGGAUGAGGCCACUGGUGCUGCUUGUGUGAGGACUGUGGAUUUUCUGCCUGUACUGAUCUGCAUGGCUGACUGUGUGAAUGUAUAUCUAUACACACACACACAUAUAUAUACACACACACACACACACACACAUUGUGGGUAUAUAUAUGUUCUGUGAGCAUGCACACUGAGCCUUGCUGCUGGCUGGGCCCAGGGAGCCAGAGCUGCAGCAGCCUUAUCAGUGGGACACUGGUAUGAACCCAUAUUUGCUUGCCUGCCUGCAGAGAGGUGUCCCCUCUCAAGGUCCCCCAGGGUGGCCAGGGUGCAGGGGGUGCUGGCUGCAGGCAAGGGAGCCCUGAACAUGCCCCUGAAGCCCAGCCAUGUCCGUGUGUCUGUGGGAGAAAGCAGGCUGGGCUGUUCAUGUUUCACCUAAGGACUAGUGAAAGUGGCAGGUGGAGAAGAAAACAAACACAGGGUAGCUGCAAACAUCACCGGUGAAGGGCUGACUGCUCGGCCUCCCUGCGUUUCGUUCUGCAACACUUGAACUCCUCCUGCCCGCGUCCCUCGGGGCUGACAGCGCGGCGGCUGCGUGGGACGGGCAGGCAGCUCCGGGGGCUCAGGUGCCAACCACAGCCUUCGUGCUGUGCCCCCCGCCCCCUCUUUAAAGCCCGCCGGAGCACGAGUGCUGCUGUAAUACAGAGAAAGCCUCUGGCCGGGUUAGUCAUCCGAGGCUCUCGGGGCCAGACGCGCUCGCCUGCAGAGCCCCCGCAGGUACCGAAAUGCGCGGCCGGGGCUGGGGGUGCCUCGUCCACGGCACCCACGGGCUGCUCCUGCAAGUGCUCGUGGGCUCCUGCCAGCCACGAGCGAACGGGGCCUGGCUGCGUGUUUUAUUAUGGUUGUAGGAGAAUUAGCAGCUGGGAAAUAUUUCCUGCCCCUGCUGUUUUAUGGGCUUAUGUCAUGAAGACAGAGAAGGUUGCGUUAGACUACAAGCCUCAAGGUCUAUCUGCCGGGGACACCCUGGGAGAAGGGGCUGAGGACUGCUGGAUUUUUGGGGAUCUGGACCUUUUCUCAUCUCAAACAGAAGUAAAAGUUUAAACCUAUGGAAACGCUGUUGUGAUAAGAACUUAUCAGUCAUUCAUUCAAGCUGCACCUACGUAAUUCAGUGUUUUGCAAAUAAAGGGAAUAAAAAGAGAAAACUGAGCAGGUUGUUUCUGUGUGCUGUCUCAGAGAUUGGCACGAGGUCCCAGCAACUUUCCUCCUGCAGGGUCCAGAGAAGGGAAUGGUAAUGCUGCCAGGAAAAUCUCUAUCAGGACUCCAGUGAGACCAGGGUGGUAUCAGGACAGUUUACAAUGGUUUCAGGUGGUCAUUUCGUAAUAUGGAUACUGUUAAGCUGGAUGCAAGUGCUAUAUUUGGUGCC